This 933-nucleotide ribosomal RNA is filed under the name uncultured archaeon. Its description in RNAcentral is "bacterial SSU rRNA". It matches the Rfam family "Archaeal small subunit ribosomal RNA", at positions 1 to 916 of the family's 1478-position model. The record is from RNAcentral.
UUCCGGUUGAUCCUGCCGGACCUUACUGCUAUCGGGAUGAGAUUAAGCCAUGCAAGUCGUGCGUUCUUAAGCUAUGUUGAGAGCGCGGCGAACUGCUCCGUAACACGUAGUUAACCUACCCUUGGGAUGGGGAUAACCCCGGGAAACUGGGAUUAAUACCCAAUAGAUGAUUAUACCUGGAAUGGCUUAUCAUCGAAAGAGUCUGGAAACAUGCUUCCAGCGUCGCCCAAGGAUGGGACUGCGUCCCAUCAGGUUGUUGGUGGGGUAACGGCUCACCAAGCCUAUAACCGGUACGGGCCCUGAGAGGGGGAGCCCGGAGAUGGAAACUGAGAAAAUGUUCCAGGCCCUACGGGGUGCAGCAGGCGCGAAACCUCCACAAUGCGCGAAAGCGUGAUGGGGUUAUCCCCGAGUGCCGUCCGAUGAGGAUGGCUUUUCAUCGGUGUAAGGAUCCGAUGGAAUAAAGGGGGGGCAAGACUGGUGUCAGCCGCCGCGGUAAUACCAGCCCCCUGAGUGGUAGGGACGAUUAUUUGGCCUAAAGCGUUCGUAGCCGGCUUAGCAAGUCUUUUGUUAAAUCCAGCGAUUCAAUCGUUGGGCCGCAAAAGAUACUGUUAUGCCAGAGGACGGGAGAGGUCGACGGUAGUCCAGGGGUAGGGGUGAGAUCCCUAUAAUCCUUGGAGGACCACCAGUGGCGAAGGCGGUCGACUAGAACGUGCCUGACGGUGAGGGACGAAAGCUGGGGGAGCGAACCGGAUUAGAUACGCGGGUAGUCCCAGCCGUAAACGAUGCGGGCUAGGUGUUGGGGCAGCCACGAGCUGCUCCAGUGCCGCAGAGAAGUUGUUAAGGCCCGCCGCUGGGGAGUACGGCCGCAAGGCCGAAACUUAAGGAAUUGCCGGGGAGCAGCACAAGGGUGAGCUGCCGUUAAUUGAUCACGCC